GUUUUUAACAUUUUAAAGUUGAGGGGGGAGGGGGGGGGGCCAAAUAAAGGAUCUGCCCCGGGUGCCAAAUGCCCCUGCUCCCAGGAGGCAAUUGACAAGCUCAGCCUCGGCACCAGCACAGCUUUGCACCACGCUCCGUAGUUAAUAGAAGCCCGAGAGGUAAAUUUGCCGCUUUAAUGCACUGUAUUUACAAAAAACUGCAGAAGUCACCCUUUCAUGCGAGCACACCGCAUGGCGGUCUGGCCCCCUUUUAUCAGGGCCGGACUGUGGAUACAAAUCAGCCCUGGAAAAAAAAAAUCUAUGCCAGCCCCAUAAGUCAUUGCACCAUAUAUUGUCGCAUGUAAAAACCGGGGAGGGAGAUCAGAAAUCUCACUGAUAUACAUAAGCUCAUUGACAUAAAAACACAAGCUCACUCACUAGCAGACGCACACACACACACACACACACAUGGAAGCAAGCUCACUCACUAACAGGCGCGCACACACACACACACACACACAACUUAAUGUAGUGGUUCUGGAGUCUGUAGCCUGUCCCUGCAGGCUUUUCAAUAUAAACACUGACUUUUCAGAUAAAAGGCAGUGUUUGCAUUGCUUCCUAGUGACAGCUCUAGUGACAGACACUCAGACAGUCACUAGAGGUGCUGCACAGAAAUCUCCCUCCCCGGUCCGCAGGUACCGUGCUGACAGCUGGCAGGGGAGGGAGUGAGAGAGGACUCGGGAGUUCUUACCUGCAGCUCCUCCGGGUCCUACUCUCGCAAGCACUGAGUGUUGCCGCGGCAACGCUCCAAAUCUCACGAGAGUGAACUCUAGCCCUGGAGCAAAGGGCUAGAGUUCACCUCACCACUGGAACCACCAGGAAUCCCCACCGGACCACCAGGGAUGGAGAAAUGUCCCCCCUCCUCCUCAAUAAAGGUAAGAAGGGAGGGGGGACAUAAUUAUAUUAAUUUUAUUAAAUAAAAAUUGAAAAAAUGUGUAUUAAAAAGCCUCCCUGAGGGCGGAGCCUGAACGCCGAUGGAGCAGGACGUGUAAACCCUGAGUUCUCCCGUCCACGAGCCACAAUCCGCCAACAUCGGCACCUUUUCCCCGACCACCCAAAAGCAAAAAAGGGUCACACGCUACCCGCAGCACCCCUCGCUCAACAUCUCCAUGGGGGGCAAUAAAAAAAAAAAGGACACCCCUCUAUCUGUGGCAUCGAUGUUCCGCGCCACCAGGGAACAGGGGCGGCCAUCUUUAACACAGGAGGCCCAAGAAUCCGGAGCUGAAACCGACGACAGCGAAGCCCCAGACAGAGAAGCAGCUACACACUGCCGCACAACGCCUGAAUCACUUACCAAAUCCGAUCUCCGCCAAAUGCUGCAAGAUGCCACAGCUGAUAUAAAGGCACACACAGCAACAGAACUGGAACGCCACAUUUCAGGCCUAAAAGGGGAAAUCGAAGCCCUGAACAACCGCUCGGCACAGGCAGAAGCUGACAUCACACAAAUUAAAGUGAACACAACCCAACACAAGCAAGAUAUUUUCUAUUUAAGCGACAAAGUGCAAUUUCUUGAAGACAGCCUGGAAGACCUCAAUAACCGGUCUCGCAGGAACAAUAUUA
Molecule: long non-coding RNA, 1599 nt
Filed under: Pelobates cultripes (western spadefoot toad)
Lineage: Eukaryota; Metazoa; Chordata; Amphibia; Anura; Pelobatidae
Source: RNAcentral